This 253-nucleotide ribosomal RNA is filed under the name uncultured bacterium. RNAcentral describes it as "partial 16S ribosomal RNA". It matches the Rfam family "Bacterial small subunit ribosomal RNA", at positions 524 to 776 of the family's 1533-position model. The record is from RNAcentral.
UACGGGGGGGGCAAGCGUUGUUCGGAAUUACUGGGCGUAAAGCGCGCGUAGGCGGCUUUGCAAGUCGGGUGUGAAAUCCCCAGGCUUAACCUGGGAACUGCAUCCGAGACUGCAUUGCUAGAGUAUGGGAGAGGGAAGUGGAAUUUCAGGUGUAGCGGUGAAAUGCGUAGAUAUCUGAAGGAACAUCAGUGGCGAAAGCGACUUCCUGGACCAAUACUGACGCUCAUGUGCGAAAGCGUGGGGAGCAAACAGG